UACGGAGGGAGCUAGCGUUGUUCGGAAUUACUGGGCGUAAAGCGCACGUAGGCGGCUUUUUAAGUCAGGGGUGAAAUCCCGGGGCUCAACCCCGGAACUGCCCUUGAAACUGGAGAGCUAGAAUCUUGGAGAGGCGAGUGGAAUUCCGAGUGUAGAGGUGAAAUUCGUAGAUAUUCGGAAGAACACCGGUGGCGAAGGCGACUCGCUGGACAAGUAUUGACGCUGAGGUGCGAAAGCGUGGGGAGCAAACAGG
Molecule: ribosomal RNA, 253 nt
Filed under: uncultured bacterium
Lineage: Bacteria
Description: partial 16S ribosomal RNA
Rfam family: Bacterial small subunit ribosomal RNA
Source: RNAcentral